Molecule: long non-coding RNA, 300 nt
Organism: Pieris rapae (cabbage white)
Lineage: Eukaryota; Metazoa; Arthropoda; Insecta; Lepidoptera; Pieridae
Exons: 3
Source: RefSeq, a predicted model, not a curated record
CUGAGUUAACAAGAGUAUAAUAAUUUAUACUUCUUUCAUUCACGACAUCGCACCCGAGUACUCACAUUUUUCUAUCCGUGAAUAUUUUUUUAAUCUCAAGAACUGUACUCAGUUUAUAAAUAAGAGCUUCCUAUAUUUUAACCAAGUAAUAUGAGAGCGAAGUGGCGUAAGAAGCGUAUGCGGAGGCUAAAGCGUAAACGUAGGAAGAUGCGUGCGAGGUCUAAAUAAGCAGGUACAUCUGUUAAGGCAGAGGGUUACACUUCAGACUUGCAUUUGUAUCAAAUAAAAAUUUAAAAAUCC